CUUGUUUACAAAAACGACUCCCCACCCUUGCAGAUGCAGAUUAGAGUUUUUCAGCUCACUAGAGAUCCAGAAUCAAAAUCUAAACCAGCUGGUGCUUUUACGCGGGUGUCUUACUUUAGCUUACUCAAAAGAACACAAGAUGAACGGAGAGCGAAAGUCAUGCAAACACCACCAAUAAAGUGAAUAAAGAACAAUAAUAAUGCUUAAUAAUGUGGACCUUCACUUCUGUAAGAAUUUUGGCAAGAGCAUUUUGCUUCCCUGAUGCAUUUCAAAAUAUUUCCAGGAGGAAGAACCAAGAUGCUUGUUGCAGAAUUCAAUUGUUCCAGAAAGAUAUCUUGGGAUAGUAACCUCACGUGGGUCAUUCCUCGGUCAACUGCUCAUCUCCUCUGUUGUUCCAAGCAGCCUUCCCGAGCCACUGCAGGAAGGAC
This 428-nucleotide long non-coding RNA is filed under the name Chloebia gouldiae (Gouldian finch). RNAcentral describes it as "Erythrura gouldiae (Gouldian finch) lncRNA (ENSEGOG00005003831.1)". Lineage: Eukaryota; Metazoa; Chordata; Aves; Passeriformes; Passeridae. The record is from RNAcentral.